RNAcentral lists this microRNA (21 nucleotides) under Macaca mulatta (Rhesus monkey). Its description in RNAcentral is "mml-miR-224-3p". Its record names the gene mml-miR-224-3p. Lineage: Eukaryota; Metazoa; Chordata; Mammalia; Primates; Cercopithecidae. The record is from miRBase by way of RNAcentral.
AUGGUGCCCUAGUGACUACAA